RNAcentral lists this ribosomal RNA (768 nucleotides) under uncultured bacterium. RNAcentral's name for it is "bacterial SSU rRNA". It matches the Rfam family "Bacterial small subunit ribosomal RNA", at positions 28 to 776 of the family's 1533-position model. The record is from RNAcentral.
GACGAACGCUGGCGGCGCGCUUAACACAUGCAAGUCGAGCGAAGUUUUUCUGGUGCUUGCACCGGAAAAACUUAGCGGCGAACGGGUGAGUAACACGUAAAGAACCUGCCUCAUAGACUGGGACAACUAUUGGAAACGAUAGCUAAUACCGGAUAACAGCAUUAACUGCAUGGUUGAUGUUUAAAAGUUGGUUUUGCUAACACUAUGAGAUGGCUUUGCGGUGCAUUAGCUAGUUGGUGGGGUAAAGGCCUACCAAGGCGACGAUGCAUAGCCGACCUGAGAGGGUGAUCGGCCACACUGGGACUGAGACACGGCCCAGACUCCUACGGGAGGCAGCAGUAGGGAAUCUUCCGCAAUGGGCGAAAGCCUGACGGAGCAACGCCGCGUGAGUGAAGAAGGAUUUCGGUUCGUAAAGCUCUGUUGUUAGGGAAGAAUGAUUGUGUAGUAACUAUACACAGUAGAGACGGUACCUAACCAGAAAGCCACGGCUAACUACGUGCCAGCAGCCGCGGUAAUACGUAGGUGGCAAGCGUUGUCCGGAAUUAUUGGGCGUAAAGCGCGCGCAGGUGGUUUAAUAAGUCUGAUGUGAAAGCCCACGGCUCAACCGUGGAGGGUCAUUGGAAACUGUUAAACUUGAGUGCAGGAGAGAAAAGUGGAAUUCCUAGUGUAGCGGUGAAAUGCGUAGAGAUUAGGAGGAACACCAGUGGCGAAGGCGGCUUUUUGGCCUGUAACUGACACUGAGGCGCGAAAGCGUGGGGAGCAAACAGG